RNAcentral lists this long non-coding RNA (441 nucleotides) under Olea europaea (common olive). RNAcentral describes it as "long non-coding RNA (OEUR_LNC000949)". Lineage: Eukaryota; Viridiplantae; Streptophyta; Magnoliopsida; Lamiales; Oleaceae. The record is from RNAcentral.
ACAGGCGUGCAAUUGUUAGACAUUGCCCAACAAAAAAUAUUAAUAAAGCACGUCUGUGACAAUGAUCGCUGUGAUUUUUACAAAUAUUUCUCAUUUUCCUUCUACAUAACCAAAGCUUCAUCCAUCAGUGGAGCUGAAAUUAAAGGCACACAAACACGAGUACAUCAAAGUGAAUAAACCAGUAAAAUUAAAAUGAAUUCCUUGGAUUAAGCAUAAUAACUUACAGACAUAAUUCCUGCAUCAUUGACUAGGUUUCUUAUAUCUGCACUAGAAUAUCCAACUGUCUGAAACACAAGUUGUACAGGAAGAGAAAAGUAAAAUACGGUAAAUGGCUUUACCACUCAUUGAGCAUAUUUAAGCAACUAUCUCAGUACUAAGUGCCGUGUAAGGCAAGUUAAAAGGUAACUAAAACUCGACAAGAGAAUACAGACGAAGAGAGUA